CACGUAGGGUGCAAGCGUUGUCCGGAAUUAUUGGGCGUAAAGAGCUCGUAGGCGGUCUGUUGCGUCCGCUGUGAAAUCUCGGGGCUUAACCCCGAGCCUGCAGUGGAUACGGGCAGACUAGAGGUAGGUAGGGGAGAAUGGAAUUCCCGGUGUAGCGGUGAAAUGCGCAGAUAUCGGGAGGAACACCGGUGGCGAAGGCGGUUCUCUGGGCCUUACCUGACGCUGAGGUGCGAAAGCUAGGGUAGCAAACGGG
RNAcentral lists this ribosomal RNA (253 nucleotides) under uncultured bacterium. RNAcentral's name for it is "partial 16S ribosomal RNA". It matches the Rfam family "Bacterial small subunit ribosomal RNA", at positions 524 to 776 of the family's 1533-position model. The record is from RNAcentral.